CCUACGGGGGGCAGCAGUAGGGAAUAUUGCUCAAUGGGGGAAACCCUGAAGCAGCAACGCCGCGUGGAGGAUGAAGGUUUUCGGAUUGUAAACUCCUUUUGUUAGAGAAGAUAAUGACGGUAUCUAACGAAUAAGCACCGGCUAACUCCGUGCCAGCAGCCGCGGUAAUACGGAGGGUGCAAGCGUUACUCGGAAUCACUGGGCGGAAAGAGCGCGUAGGCGGGAUAGCAGGUCGGAGGUGAAACCCUAUGGCUUAACCAUAGAACUGCAUUUGAAACUGUUAUUCUAGAGUAUGGGAGAGGUAGGUGGAAUUCGUGGUGGAGGGGUAAAAUCCGUAGAGAUCAAGAGGAAUACUCAUUGCGAAGGCGACCUGCUAGAACAUAACUGACGCUGAUGCGCGAAAGCGUGGGGAGCAAACAGGAUUAGAUACCCGAGUAGUC
Molecule: ribosomal RNA, 440 nt
Filed under: uncultured bacterium
Lineage: Bacteria
Description: partial 16S ribosomal RNA
Rfam family: Bacterial small subunit ribosomal RNA
Source: RNAcentral